RNAcentral lists this ribosomal RNA (465 nucleotides) under uncultured bacterium. Its description in RNAcentral is "partial 16S ribosomal RNA". It matches the Rfam family "Bacterial small subunit ribosomal RNA", at positions 28 to 507 of the family's 1533-position model. The record is from RNAcentral.
GACGAACGCUGGCGGCGUGCUUAACACAUGCAAGUCGUACGGUAAGGCCCUUUCCGGGGUACACGAGUGGCGAACGGGUGAGUAACACGUGAGUAACCUGCCCACAACUUUGGGAUAACGCUAGGAAACUGGUGCUAAUACUGGAUAUGUGCUCCUGCUGCAUGGUGGGGGUUGGAAAGCUCCGGCGGUUGUGGAUGGACCCGCGGCCUAUCGGCUUGUUGGUGGGGUAGUGGCCUACCAAGGCGGCGACGGGUAGCCGGCCUGGGGGGGUGACCGGCCACAUUGGGACUGAGAGACGGCCCAGACUCCUACGGGAGGCAGCAGUGGGGAAGAUUGCACAAUGGGCGCAAGCCUGAUGCAGCAGCGCCGCGUGCGGGAUGACGGUCUUCGGGUUGUAAACCGCUUUCAGCAGGGACGAAGCUUUUUGUGACGGUACCUGCAGAAGAAGCACCGGCUAACUACGUG